Molecule: non-coding RNA, 45 nt
Filed under: Chrysochromulina rotalis
Lineage: Eukaryota; Haptophyta; Prymnesiales; Chrysochromulinaceae
Source: RNAcentral
UGCGCCGUCACCACCACUCCUUCAGGGGCUGAAGGCAGCAGGCGG